Ipomoea triloba (trilobed morning glory) is the source of this 1098-nucleotide long non-coding RNA. RefSeq lists it as uncharacterized. The record is from RefSeq and is a predicted model, not a curated record. The transcript has 2 exons. NCBI's taxonomy places the organism in Eukaryota, Viridiplantae, Streptophyta, Magnoliopsida, Solanales, Convolvulaceae.
UGACUUUUGGUGAUGAUGAUAUAUUGAAUUUUUAUUAUUUUUUUUUGGUUUAAGCUAACCAAUUGUAAAUAAUUUAGAUUAAUUUUACUUUUUUACUGAUUGGAAUCACAUACAAGGCAGGGCUUUUAUAAACCAGAGGGAGUCCAUGAAAUAUUUCUCAUAGUGUUUCCUAUUUAGACUAGAAAGAUAAUGAUUGAUAGAAAUGGAUAGCGAAGACAAAAUCCCACAUUGACCUGUCGCUUUAUAAAAUCUGUAGUCUCAGAUAAGCUUUGCCGUUUUUGAUUUGAUUUGAUUUGUGGCGUUAUCAAAAUGCCAAAUCUUGAAUGUUCUUAAUUGGAUCUAAUCUCGAUUAUGUUUGGUAUGCAUGUGUUUUUGGUGAUGAGAAAAAUAUACAUUCAUUAUCCAAAGAGUAUGCACUUGGUAAAUUCUGUUUUGUUACUCUAGUCAUGAAAGGACUAUAAUGAGGUAAAAUAUAUGUCUUUUCUACUAUAAUGUUUGGCAUUUUUUUUGAUAAUCAUGCAUUGAUUAUGUUAUUAUUAUAGUAUACUUUUUUUCUCCAAAAGGUUGAAUCCCCAACCAAUCUCAAAGACCAUCUCACACUUUGGCAUGACAUAGUAUUUGGAAGGACGUAAAUCACGAUAAUUUCAGUUGACAUGUCAAAUAUCUGCGGACUCAAGGGAUCUGCCUACUUUUGGCAUAAUCUCCACACUGUUGUUGUCGAGUUUAGAACAUUGGCCUCUUCUUCCAAAUACUACCUACUGAACCAGAACAAAUUGGGAUUGCUAAUGGCUCUGGCAAGGAGUUGGCACUUGGCAUGUUGGAGCUAGCCUGGCUCAUGGGACCUUAAUUAGCCCAAUUAAUGUGGUCAUCAUUGGAAGACUGGCAACAACUGAAUUAAAAGGACAUAUAGUAGAUACAGCAGCAGUGCGUGGGGUAUAUAUUGCAACCAAAGUUGAGAUUUUAAGGUUUUCUUGAAUCUUUAUUAAGGUCAUAUUGCAGUGUACAUGAAGUCCAGAUUGCUGUUAAAAAGUGUCAAAUACUCUCAUAUACAAAUACUUUUAUGGGUUGUUUGGUUUAUGAAAAUUUCAAUUUAUUUCC